GGAUACAUUACAUCCCAUGGGCUCCUUCGAAACUAUCAAGAGAUCAUCUAUCUCUAAUUUCUCAGUGAUUGUACCGAUGGAAUCCCUCUCUUCUCCUCCUUUCUUUCGAAGUGGAUAAUCCUUCUUGAAGUAUCCAGUCUUAUGGCACUUGUAAUACUUCAAAACCUUUUUCGAUCUAUCCUUGAAUUUUUUUCUCUUCCCAGGUCUUCAUCGUCUCUCAUGAACAGCAAGUGCCUCUGAAGUAGAGCCUCCCUUAGAGAUCUUCUCCUGCUGCUCGUUUGAUCUCAGGGCACCC
This 295-nucleotide long non-coding RNA is filed under the name Elaeis guineensis (African oil palm). Its description in RNAcentral is "long non-coding RNA (EGUI_LNC019813)". The record is from RNAcentral. Lineage: Eukaryota; Viridiplantae; Streptophyta; Magnoliopsida; Arecales; Arecaceae.